This is a long non-coding RNA of Antechinus flavipes (yellow-footed antechinus), 1107 nucleotides long. RefSeq lists it as uncharacterized. NCBI's taxonomy places the organism in Eukaryota, Metazoa, Chordata, Mammalia, Dasyuromorphia, Dasyuridae. The transcript has 3 exons. The record is from RefSeq and is a predicted model, not a curated record.
GGGGGGCUCUCGGGCCCACUUCGGUCUCGGGGCCGUGUCACCACUUCGGGCUCCCCCAGCGGCAGUUCCAGCAGGGGCUGCCGCUUCGGGCGGAGAUCCUAGACUUGUUUCCUCAGGAGCCUUGCUGCCUCCCAGCACCCAGCGACGGCUGCUGGACUCCAGGCUCUGCAGAUAAAGAACUGAAAAGAACUUCAGAGGCCAUCUAGUCCAACACCGUCCACAUUUUACAGAUGAAGAAAUUGAGACCAGAAGCAAAUCUGUAAUAGGUGAUAGAGCCAGUAUCUGAGCUGGCUCUCUGACUCCAAAGUCAUCCCGUUUUCAUCUUCCUUUGUGUCCACGAUGGUACUUGACCCCAAGGCUUCCUGACUCUUGGACUGGCUUUCAGUACUCUGUGCUACCUUGGGUAAACUAGUCUUUGGGCCUGUUUUUUUCCUCUGAAAAAUGCAGAUUUAACCUCUUCUCUCUCUCUUUUUAAAAGAUUCAGUUGAGGUAAUGAUUGCGAAGUAGUUUUGGGAAAUUAAAAAUGCUACUUUUUUUUUUUCCUUGAGGCAAUUGGGGUUAAGUGAGUUGUCCAGGAUCACACAGCUAGAUAGUAUGUAGUGUUUGAGAUCACAUUUGAACUCAGGUCUUCCUGACUUCAGGGCUGGUGUUCUAUCCACUGCACCACCUAACUGCCCCCAAAAUGCUACUCUUUACCUGUCAGGUUAUUGUUAUUAAAGUCAUGGAAUUGAAUGUAAUAUUAAAAGUAUUUUAGUUCAGACUCUCUCUGAAUCACAAGUCUUGGUCUGCCCUCUUAAAGGAGUGAUAUCGAAUUAGGCUAAAGAGCUUUGGAUUUGGAAUCAUAGAGCCAGAGCUCCAUACUCAGCUCAACUGUUCACCAGGUGUGUACCCUUGGGCCAGGAAGUUAACUUGUUAACUCAGUGUCCUGUGUAAAAAGAGGUAAUUGGAUGAGAUGGUCUCCAAAUCCCUUCUCAGCUCCAGCCUUUCCUUGAGUGAAGGAAAUGAUAUAGUGAAGAGCUCACAAUAUCAUAGAAGACAGCCUAUUUUGGGAUAACUAAUUGUUAAGGUAUUUUUCAUUACUUGGAAUUAAAAUCUGCCUUUUACCUA